Pogoniulus pusillus (Red-fronted tinkerbird) is the source of this 760-nucleotide long non-coding RNA. RefSeq lists it as uncharacterized. The record is from RefSeq and is a predicted model, not a curated record. The transcript is spliced from 3 exons. Lineage: Eukaryota; Metazoa; Chordata; Aves; Piciformes; Lybiidae.
GUGGAGCACGUGGCUGCCUAAAGGAGGCUGUGAUGGUGUAGGAAAGUUGUGCUGCAGCAGACUCCUUGCAGGAUAUGUGGCCCCACGAAGAGAGAGCAGCCCAUGCUGGAGCAGGUUUGCUGGGAAAACAGAGGGAUUCCUGGAGAGCCUCUGGCACUGAGCUGAUGGCCAGCCCAGCCCUGCCCCGGGACACCCCUGCCACAGGCAAGAGAAGGAAUUCUACUCAGUUAAGAGGGGAUGCAUUUUGCUGUGAAGGGAUUCCAGGGAUGCCAAGCCUGGAGAGGACAUCCUGGAAGUACAUUAAGAAAUCCAACUUGCACAGCUAAUUUCUGUCUGUACUUCAGCAAGUGGCAGGAUUUCUGCCGUGUUAGGUUUUCACUUGGUGCCCACUCAGGUUUCUUAUCAGCUGUAUGCCAGGGGCUGUGUGUGGAAUGCUCUUUUGCUGCUUCCUGGCCCCGAGCCAGCUCACUGUAGUUGAGCUGGCAGUGGCACUUCUGACUUUCUUAAAACACAGGGCUCUGCAGCUUGCAAGAAUGAUCUGAGGAUCAGAAUAAUUUGGAGCAGGUGUUUGAGCCUCUCUCCUCUUCUGUGCAACAGAAGGUGGAUGCAUUUUUCAUUCUGUGUGGAGACAAACCCUAGUGCUGAGGAUGACCAUCUGCCAGUGAACUCUUUCUUCCUGACCAUCAGCAAAAUGGGGUUUGUUUUACUGUGAGCACUGGUGAGGCUGAUGGGAUGUCCCACACUGACUUUGUGCUUAGUC